GUGAAUCAUCGAAUCUUUGAACGCAAAUUGCACUCUCCGGGAAUACUGGGCCUAUUUGAGUUUCAGCCUAUAAAAAUCGACAUCGUUGCUGUUUCGCGGUGGAGUUCGUCGGAUAUUGUGGCAUCUUAAAUCCUUUUGAUUUAAGCGACUUAAAAUUUUCUUUUGGUUCCAUGAACGAUGCUAAGAUCUAUUUCUUUACACGUUUAAGGUAUCGAUUUUUACUGGACGUGACCAUCAUAUCGGAUCGCGUGCAUAAUCUUUCAUUAACUGACCUCAGACAGGUAAGAGU
RNAcentral lists this unclassified non-coding RNA (289 nucleotides) under Glomus sp. Its description in RNAcentral is "partial internal transcribed spacer 2". Lineage: Eukaryota; Fungi; Glomeromycota; Glomeromycetes; Glomerales; Glomeraceae. The record is from RNAcentral.